ACAUUACUCCCUCCGUUCGAAAUUAUUUGUCACAAAAAUGGAUGUAUCUACAACUAAAAUACAUCUAUAUACAUAUUCAUUUCUUGGACGAGUAAUUCCGAACGGAGGGAGUACAUA
Non-coding RNA from Triticum aestivum (bread wheat), 117 nucleotides. The record is from Rfam. NCBI's taxonomy places the organism in Eukaryota, Viridiplantae, Streptophyta, Magnoliopsida, Poales, Poaceae.